AUCCAGCUGAUGAGUCCCAAAUAGAACGAAAAGUGCAUCCAGGAU
Molecule: non-coding RNA, 45 nt
Filed under: Schistosoma mansoni
Lineage: Eukaryota; Metazoa; Platyhelminthes; Trematoda; Strigeidida; Schistosomatidae
Source: RNAcentral